AGAGUUUGAUCAUGGCUCAGGAUGAACGCUGGCGGCGUGCCUAACACAUGCAAGUCGAACGGAGUUUAAUAUUGGAAGUUUUCGGAUGGAAGAUAUUAAACUUAGUGGCGGACGGGUGAGUAACGCGUGGGUAACCUGCCUCAUAGAGGGGGAUAACAGUUUGAAAAGACUGCUAAUACCGCAUAAGCAUACGGUGCUGCAUGGCACAGUGUGAAAAGAUUUAUCGCUAUGAGAUGGACCCGCGUCUGAUUAGCUAGUUGGUGGGGUAAAGGCCUACCAAGGCGACGAUCAGUAGCCGACCUGAGAGGGUGAACGGCCACAUUGGGACUGAGACACGGCCCAAACUCCUACGGGAGGCAGCAGUGGGGAAUAUUGCACAAUGGGGGGAACCCUGAUGCAGCGACGCCGCGUGAGUGAAGAAGUAUUUCGGUAUGUAAAGCUCUAUCAGCAGGGAAGAAAAUGACAGUACCUGACUAAGAAGCCCCGGCUAACUACGUGCCAGCAGCCGCGGUAAUACGUAGGGGGCAAGCGUUAUCCGGAUUUACUGGGUGUAAAGGGAGCGUAGACGGAAUGGCAAGUCUGAAGUGAAAACCCGAGGCUCAACCACGGGACUGCUUUGGAAACUGUCAAUCUUGAGUGUUGGAGAGGUAAGUGGAAUUCCUAGUGUAGCGGUGAAAUGCGUAGAUAUUAGGAGGAACACCAGAGGCGAAGGCGGCUUACUGGACAAUAACUGACGUUGAGGCUCGAAAGCGUGGGGAGCAAACAGGAUUAGAUACCCUGGUAGU
Molecule: ribosomal RNA, 785 nt
Filed under: uncultured bacterium
Lineage: Bacteria
Description: bacterial SSU rRNA
Rfam family: Bacterial small subunit ribosomal RNA
Source: RNAcentral